This 213-nucleotide ribosomal RNA is filed under the name Triticum aestivum (bread wheat). Its description in RNAcentral is "partial small subunit ribosomal RNA". The record is from RNAcentral. Lineage: Eukaryota; Viridiplantae; Streptophyta; Magnoliopsida; Poales; Poaceae.
AUGGCAAUCCCAAAGACCAAGGGAGGUAUGGGAUUCAGAGAUUUGGAAGUUUUCAAUGAUUCAAUGCUGGCCAAACAGGCUUGGAGACUGUUGGAAUACCCGGACAGCUUAUGUGCGAGGGUUUUGAAAGGGAGGUACUACCCUGAUGGUGAGUUUCUCUCUGCGAACUGCCCCGCAAGUGCUUCUCGCACUUGGAAGGCAAUCAUGUGUGGG